RNAcentral lists this ribosomal RNA (535 nucleotides) under Coniochaeta sp. CRCF30. RNAcentral describes it as "eukaryotic LSU rRNA". The stretch from base 185 to 338 matches the Rfam family "5.8S ribosomal RNA". Lineage: Eukaryota; Fungi; Ascomycota; Sordariomycetes; Coniochaetales; Coniochaetaceae. The record is from RNAcentral.
AGGGAUCAUUAUUAGAAGCCGAAAGGCUACUUAAAUCCAUCGCGAACUCAUCCAAGUUGGUUCGGCGGCGCGGCGUCCCUCACGGGGCGCCGCAGCCCCGCCUCUCCGGAGGCGUGGGGCGCCCGCCGGAGGUACGAAACUCUGUAUUAUAGUGGCAUCUCUGAGUAAAAAACAAAUAAGUUAAAACUUUCAACAACGGAUCUCUUGGUUCUGGCAUCGAUGAAGAACGCAGCGAAAUGCGAUAAGUAAUGUGAAUUGCAGAAUUCAGUGAAUCAUCGAAUCUUUGAACGCACAUUGCGCCCGCUAGUACUCUAGCGGGCAUGCCUGUUCGAGCGUCAUUUCAACCCUCAAGCCCUGCUUGGUGUUGGGGCCCUACGGCUGCCGUAGGCCCUGAAAGGAAGUGGCGGGCUCGCUACAACUCCGAGCGUAGUAAUUCAUUAUCUCGCUAGGGAUGUUGCGGCGUGCUCCUGCCGUUAAAGACCAUCUUUAACUCAAGGUUGACCUCGGAUCAGGUAGGAAUACCCGCUGAACUUAA